RNAcentral lists this ribosomal RNA (292 nucleotides) under uncultured bacterium. Its description in RNAcentral is "partial 16S ribosomal RNA". It matches the Rfam family "Bacterial small subunit ribosomal RNA", at positions 505 to 796 of the family's 1533-position model. The record is from RNAcentral.
GUUUCAGCAGCCGCGGUAAUACAGAGGUCCCAAGCGUUGUUCGGAUUCACUGGGCGUAAAGGGUGCGUAGGUGGCCAGGUAAGUUCGGUGUGAAAGCUCGGAGCUCAACUCCGAAAAGUCAUUGAAUACUAUCUGGCUGGAGGGUCGGAGGGGAGACUGGAAUUCUCGGUGUAGCAGUGAAAUGCGUAGAUAUCGAGAGGAACACCAGUGGCGAAGGCGAGUCUCUGGACGACUCCUGACACUGAGGCACGAAAGCUAGGGGAGCAAACAGGAUUAGAUACCCGGGUAGUCC